UAAAGAAGAGUUUUUCGGCUUGUAGAUGAAUUGAAAUCUAAUUGUAGGAUAAAGACUUUUAUUCUUUAUGAGAUUGACAUUGAGAACUGGUCAUGAUUUUGUGGGAUUAAAAUCCUUAUUCUUUAGUUAAAAAUCGCCUAAGAUAAGAUGAGUGAUCAAUAAGAACUCUUUGUAGAAGAUUUGGCCGAAUGUCCAAGAUUUCUAGGACUCUUUGUGGAAGAGUUAGGAUCCUCAGUGCUCGGUUUCCAUGAG
Molecule: long non-coding RNA, 252 nt
Filed under: Carica papaya (papaya)
Lineage: Eukaryota; Viridiplantae; Streptophyta; Magnoliopsida; Brassicales; Caricaceae
Description: long non-coding RNA (CPAP_LNC010589)
Source: RNAcentral